Molecule: small nuclear RNA, 85 nt
Filed under: Neogale vison (American mink)
Lineage: Eukaryota; Metazoa; Chordata; Mammalia; Carnivora; Mustelidae
Description: Neovison vison (American mink) U4 spliceosomal RNA (ENSNVIG00000014177.1)
Rfam family: U4 spliceosomal RNA
About the family: U4 small nuclear RNA (U4 snRNA) is a component of the major U2-dependent spliceosome. The structure of U4 snRNA from yeast and human has been reported.
Source: RNAcentral
AGCUUUGCGCAGUGGCAGUAUCGUAGCCAAUGAGGUUUAUCCGAGGCACAAUUAUUGCUAAUUGUAAACAAAAUGUCCAGAACAG